AUUCGCUAGUAGCGGCGAGCGAAGCGGGAAGAGCUCAAAUUUAUAAUCUGGCACCUUCGGUGUCCGAGUUGUAAUCUCUAGAAGUGUUUUCCGCGUUGGACCGCACACAAGUCUGUUGGAAUACAGCGGCAUAGUGGUGAAACCCCCGUAUAUGGUGCGGACGCCCAGCGCUUUGUGAUACACUUUCAAUGAGUCGAGUUGUUUGGGAAUGCAGCUCAAAUUGGGUGGUAAAUUCCAUCUAAAGCUAAAUAUUGGCGAGAGACCGAUAGCGAACAAGUACCGUGAGGGAAAGAUGAAAAGCACUUUGGAAAGAGAGUUAACAGUACGUGAAAUUGUUGGAAGGGAAACGCUUGAAGUCAGACUUGCUUGCCGGAGCUUGCUUCGGUUUGCAGGCCAGCAUCAGUUUUCCGGGGUGGAUAAUGACGGUUUGAAGGUAGCAGUCUCGGCUGUGUUAUAGCUUUCCGUUGGAUACAUCCUGGGGGACUGAGGAACGCAGCGUGCUUUUUGCGAAAGACUCGUCUUUUUCACGCUUAGGAUGCUGGUGGAAUGGCUUUAAACGACCCGUCUUGAAACCACGGACCA
This 582-nucleotide ribosomal RNA is filed under the name Ustilentyloma graminis. Its description in RNAcentral is "eukaryotic LSU rRNA". It matches the Rfam family "Eukaryotic large subunit ribosomal RNA", at positions 73 to 668 of the family's 3401-position model. Lineage: Eukaryota; Fungi; Basidiomycota; Microbotryomycetes; Microbotryales; Ustilentylomataceae. The record is from RNAcentral.